This 655-nucleotide ribosomal RNA is filed under the name Escherichia coli. Its description in RNAcentral is "partial 23S ribosomal RNA". It matches the Rfam family "Bacterial large subunit ribosomal RNA", at positions 614 to 1268 of the family's 2925-position model. The record is from RNAcentral. Lineage: Bacteria; Pseudomonadati; Pseudomonadota; Gammaproteobacteria; Enterobacterales; Enterobacteriaceae.
AAUGGGUCAGCGACUUAUAUUCUGUAGCAAGGUUAACCGAAUAGGGGAGCCGAAGGGAAACCGAGUCUUAACUGGGCGUUAAGUUGCAGGGUAUAGACCCGAAACCCGGUGAUCUAGCCAUGGGCAGGUUGAAGGUUGGGUAACACUAACUGGAGGACCGAACCGACUAAUGUUGAAAAAUUAGCGGAUGACUUGUGGCUGGGGGUGAAAGGCCAAUCAAACCGGGAGAUAGCUGGUUCUCCCCGAAAGCUAUUUAGGUAGCGCCUCGUGAAUUCAUCUCCGGGGGUAGAGCACUGUUUCGGCAAGGGGGUCAUCCCGACUUACCAACCCGAUGCAAACUACGAAUACCGGAGAAUGUUAUCACGGGAGACACACGGCGGGUGCUAACGUCCGUCGUGAAGAGGGAAACAACCCAGACCGCCAGCUAAGGUCCCAAAGUCAUGGUUAAGUGGGAAACGAUGUGGGAAGGCCCAGACAGCCAGGAUGUUGGCUUAGAAGCAGCCAUCAUUUAAAGAAAGCGUAAUAGCUCACUGGUCGAGUCGGCCUGCGCGGAAGAUGUAACGGGGCUAAACCAUGCACCGAAGCUGCGGCAGCGACGCUGAUGCGUUGUUGGGUAGGGGAGCGUUCUGUAAGCCUGCGAAGGUGUGCUGUGAGG